Molecule: long non-coding RNA, 4722 nt
Organism: Parus major (Great Tit)
Lineage: Eukaryota; Metazoa; Chordata; Aves; Passeriformes; Paridae
Exons: 2
Source: RefSeq, a predicted model, not a curated record
GCAAGAGGAGACACGCAGCAGCCCGCGGCUCGCCCCGCUGAUGCUCGGGGCACCGCAGUGUUGUGAGUGGCAAUGUUCCCUUGGGGUUCGCAGCUCGGCCCCCCACAUUCCAGGGUAAUUCCAGGCUGUGCUGGCAGCGAGGGGCAAGGGCAGGAGCUGGGCUCCCAGCCAGGCACGGCGGGGGCUGCCCGCCGGAGUGGGGUGCGUGAGUCCCACCGUGCAGGAGCUGCGUUUUGUUCCCUCCUGCUUGCCCGGACUCCUUCCCCUCGCCUCUUAGCGCUGUGUGUGCAGGUUUGGUUUGGUUUGGUUUGGUUUGGUUUGGUUUGGUUUUUAUAAAGUCCACAAACUUGUGAUUUUCCGUGCAGCUUGUGGGGAGCGAAUCAGUAUGAGGGAGUACCCUUCUCAUUGAAACCGGAGGUGAAUAAAUUAUGAACAGGCGAAAAUUGGAACAAUGUCUCUGGGCGAGUGUUUUGUAGAGAGUUACUAUUCCAGGCUUUGAAAUCAAUUGAUACAUAAUUAGAUUCCUCAAGAGAGGACAAACAAGGGCUGCCAUUCACCCCCUCCUUCUCCCACAUGCAUCCCAAAGAGAGACCAGAGGCUUUAGCAGAAACCAGACAGCCAGCAUUCUCCAGCACUAAAAACAUAUUCUGGCUUUGGGUGUUCAUUUAACAAACAGAUCCUUGAACCUUGCUUCUGUUUUCAGUUUAUUUCGACCAUGUUUCUUUGUGUUCAGUUCAUUAAAACAUGUCUCUUUUGAGAUCUAUUUUUACAUUUCAAGAAUCCAGUAUUGUACUUCUGUGGUGGCAGAUGGCCCUAGACAUCCAAGCAUAAGCUCUUUCCUGCUUUUUUCCCCCUCUUUCUUAGGUCCUUUCUGCGCUGCACUUGAAGCUGUGAGCAGCAACCAUUCCUUUUUGCAAAGUCUGGAGUUGGCUCUCAAUUCAGCACAGGGUUCUAACAUGUUACAGUCCCUGCUGUACCCUCGAGGUGUAUUUUAAGCACAAGGGAUACUACUGUCUGUAAAAUAAAUGCCCUCCACAGCUGGAUAGAUCCUUGUCACACGGGUGGCACGCAGGCUAAUUUUGCAUCUUUGCCUCAUAUUUGCCUCAUGUUAAUGUCCUGUGGUCCCCCAAAUGAAUUUAUUAGUGGUUAAGGUUGAGUUUCAUUCUUCAGGGAGACAGAAAAUACAGAUUUGGGUUAGUAAAAGAUGGGAAAAAAACAUGUGACGAUUAGAAAAAAUAUUGUAAAGGUUAUUGAACAAAAUAGCAGUGCCCCUAGCCAAGUGGACCACCUAAUUAAAGGCAAUGGCUUGGCUCCCCUGGCUACCCUUGGGAUUGAUGUGCUUAGCCAAAACCACUUCCAAACCUGGUAUCAAACACAGACCAGAGUGCUGCACCCAUGAGCAUAAUUUUGGUUACAUAUCAAUAGGACUAAAAAGACCUGUACCAGCAACAAGAAAAGCCUACCUGAGCUGCUGUAGAAUCAUUUCUUAGGUAGGGCAGCAGUAUUAUGGCUUAAAAUAAGCUGAGUGUCUUGAAGACAUUACAAACAGAAUGACAAAUUCCUACAUCUUAUUAAGUCACGGAAUCUUUAGCAGAGGGUAUGGUAAAUCUGAAUUAUGUAUUCUUUGGAAGCACAGGCACAGGUAAAUCUAUGUCCUCUCCAGUAAAAAGAUAAAAAGGCUGAGAGGUUUUUGUCCAAAGAUAUUUGUUGGCAUAAUAACCAAAGCAGAAGUACUCAAACAUAUAUAUAAGAGGACGCUAAUCUUUUCUGUGCUUGCUGCAUAGAUGGUAUUUAUUUAUGUCUUCAUGUGUGUAGGUGGCUACUUCAGUAUCUGAUUUUCUGUGGUUCACUGUCUUACCUGAGUUAACCAACAGUCUACAGACAGAGUGAGCUGGAAGAUCUUGGUCACUGCAGGCAAGACAGCUUUUUGCUGCUCCAUGGACGCUGCACAAACACGCUGACAGAGUCUGCUCCCUGACGGGAAAAGGGACAAUUCCAGAAACACACAGGCAGUGCUCUUCCUUGAUGCCUGCUCCUGUAUCCCAGCCUUGACCACAGCAGCCCUGCUACUCCGGAAUAGGUGAACUGCAGGCUGGCUUCCUGCCUCAAGCAGUCUCUUGCUUUGAGAUCCUCUCUACCUUCUUCUGAUGGGACUGCACCCAGAAAUGAGAAGUGGCAGAACUCACUGUGUUAGAAGGUAUUGCCACCUCACUAAACACUUGGGACUUCUGCAAGCCAGAGACCAUUCUUUUUACCUCCUUUUGAGUGUCUGCUCUCUCCAAAUUCAGAAGGUGCUGUUGAAGACAAUUUUGGAGUGAAACAACCCACAGACUCACAGCCUGGAUGGAGGGGAGACUUUGGCAGCUGUGAGCCAAGUCUUGGAGAGGUCAGAGAUAGACAGUAAGAACACAAAAUUAGAGGGAAACAUUCACAGGGCAGGGGAGGUUUUGGGGCUUGUCAGGAAAGGAAAGAAGAAGGAAAAAAGGCUCUGCAGAUCAAAGCUUGAUUAGUCCUCCACAAAAAUGCCCAGGUCCUUCCAACAUUUGCUUUUUUUCCCCUUCCCCAUCAUCCCUGCUAUUGCUUGUCUUGGUGAUUUGCUUGAAAAUGUAUUAGACAUCUCCAGAUCUUUCACUGUUAGAAGCAUGAAAAUAGAGGAUAGGUACUAUUAUCCACUAAGCAACACUCCCACAGUUAGCACAGUCCUCUAGAGAGACCUGCCAGAUAAUGGCUUUUGAGAGGAGCUUAGAGACAUCUGGAGUAGCCAUUUUCCCUCUUUGUACAUGGAAAAUAAAGAUUAGCUAGGGCACAGGGAGAGGCGGGGGCUAAGGAUGUAAUGAAGGGCAAUGGAUAAACCAAUGUCACAUUGCCCAUCUGUGUGACUGGCUUCAGGUCUACUGCAAAAUGUAUCAUGCAGGCUCCCCUGAAAUCCAUGGAUUUCUGUGCAGGUGGAAGAGCUCCCCGUUGGUUUGUGAGGCUGAGGUCUCACAUCACAGGCUCUUUGGGGUGGAUUUUGUCUAUAAAGCAGCUGGUGCUUUCUGAGUGGCAGAUGCAGAAAUAAAUUUCUUUUUCUUUUUAUGACUAAGUCUUUUCAAGAGUUUUCUUUAUAUGACCUGGUUUUCUUUUUAAAUUUUGAUUAUUUUCAUGCAAAAGACUUAUUCCAACCAAUUCUGCAUCAGGGGCCACUAGAGUUUGGGACUGAGCUCAGUUGUCAUUCGCUGGGCGGCAUAGCCCACCAGAACGUGGAAGCUCCAGCAGUUGUAAUCAGAGAUGCUCACAAGGGCUGCAGAGGCGAUAGUCACAUUUAAAGCAUCAAUGGCAUGCUGGGGAUGACAUUCCUAGACACGGUGUCUGCUUAAAAAGGUAUUUGUGGAUUUUGUAGUGUGGUUAUAGAAGAGAUGCUCUGGGGGAUAAAGCCAAGACUCACAACUCUUAGCGUGCAGGUUCAGCCCCGCACAGGAACUGCCCAAACCGCCUUGCAACAUAAAACGAUGGAAAAAUCACAUUCGGUGGGGCUGCGGCCGGGGUGGGCAAAGGGCGAGACGGGCCGGUUUGGGAAAUCCUUCGCUUUCCCCCGAACACCCCCAGCCCCCGCCGGGAGCGGGGCCGCAACAGCACCGCGUCGUGUGCGCUCCCUCUGCUGGCCCCGCGGCGGCCGCACGCCGGGAGGGGACAGACCCUCCCCAGGGUCCCGCAGCUCCGCAAACGCGAGCACAGAGAGCGCCCAGGCAAUUCCUCCCGGCCAGGGAGCAUCCCCAGCGCAGCCCCCGCCCGGCUGCUGCUGGAGCGGAGAACGUGACAGCCAAAGGUGGAGGAGGAUGGGGAGUUGUGGGGACGCGCUCCCUGCAUCCCCCGCAUCCAGGCAUUCUAGGAAAAAAUAGUCUCUUGAGCCAUUUUCCAAAAGUCUGCAUUGGAAUGGACUCACAGACACGUCGCCGCCCAAAAGCGCUAAGCAUCCACCUGGAAAAAGAGAGCUGAGGAACAAACGUGUAAGGUCGCACCAUGUCUCACUACAAUUUCACCUCCCAGUUUUGGGGGAUAAACCCAAAGGCGGUGAGGGCAUGACAGAGGCACUGACAACACUUUCUCACGUGCUGCCAUGUUUCUGGGUGAAGAAGUGUCUGAGGGGUCCCACUUAUGCUCCUGUCGUGAAGACCUUAAUCUUGAGCAAGAAACAAAGCUGCUACUCCAGACUGGGUGAACAGGGGUGUGGAGGUAACCUGUGCUGUCUCUGGUUACAAGAUGGAAGAGCUACAGGUGGAAAAGGGGCAACAAUUAAACAAGUCUAUUUUGGGACAGAGACACCUGUCCACAGCCACCCACCAGGAGCUAAAGUCACUUGUUCAACCCCAGUGAGAUACAGCUCAUGUGAUGCUUAACGCAACAAGUUUUACCAGCACCUGCAAGAUGCUAAGGGAGGUGUUUGGGGGGCAGCUGAUCAUGCUGGAGUGAGGAAAUAAAGAUCUUUGUACUGCUCCUGUUCUCACAGCAGCUGGACUUCUCAAACAAGGUGGUCAUCACUGGAACAGUUUGUAUCUGACACCUUUCUAACACAGCACUUCAGAACUAACCUGGUUUUGAGAUAAAGAGAACAAAAUGCAUGGAUUUUAAAAUUAUUAGUUGAGAUCAUCACGUGCGCUUCCAAAACCUUGACAGUUUUGUCUGCUUCUUUAGACCAAUGAAGGCAAUAAUAAAGUUCUGACUCAUUUGAUAUUUAUCCAUGCA